This 493-nucleotide ribosomal RNA is filed under the name uncultured bacterium. RNAcentral's name for it is "partial 16S ribosomal RNA". It matches the Rfam family "Bacterial small subunit ribosomal RNA", at positions 30 to 523 of the family's 1533-position model. The record is from RNAcentral.
AUUGAACGCUGGCGGCAUGCCUUACACAUGCAAGUCGAACGGUAACAGGUUAAGCUGACGAGUGGCGAACGGGUGAGUAAUGUAUCGGAACGUGCCCAGUCGUGGGGGAUAACGUAGCGAAAGCUACGCUAAUACCGCAUACGAUCUACGGAUGAAAGCGGGGGAUCGCAAGACCUCGCGCGAUUGGAGCGGCCGAUAUCAGAUUAGGUUGUUGGUGAGGUAAAAGCUCACCAAGCCUGCGAUCUGUAGCUGGUCUGAGAGGACGACUAGCCUCACUGGAACUGAGACACGGUCCAGACUCCUACGGGAGGCAGCAGUGGGGAAUUUUGGACAAUGGACGCAAGUCUGAUCCAGCAAUGCCGCGUGCAGGACGAAGGCCUUCGGGUUGUAAACUGCUUUUGUACGGAACGAAACGGUGAGCUCUAAUACAGUUUGCUAAUGACGGUACCUCCAGAAGAAGCCCCGGCUAACUACGUGCCAGCCGCCGCGGUAA